RNAcentral lists this ribosomal RNA (274 nucleotides) under uncultured bacterium. RNAcentral describes it as "partial 16S ribosomal RNA". It matches the Rfam family "Bacterial small subunit ribosomal RNA", at positions 523 to 796 of the family's 1533-position model. The record is from RNAcentral.
CUACGGAGGGUGCAAGCGUUAAUCGGAAUUACUGGGCGUAAAGCGUGCGUAGGUGGUUUGUUAAGUCAGAUGUGAAAGCCCCGGGCUCAACCUGGGAACUGCAUUUGAAACUGGCAUACUAGAGUAUAGGAGAGGAAAGUGGAAUUUCAGGUGUAGCGGUGAAAUGCGUAGAUAUCUGAAGGAACAUCAAUGGCGAAGGCAGCUUUCUGGACUAAUACUGACACUGAGGUACGAAAGCGUGGGUAGCAAACAGGAUUAGAAACCCCAGUAGUCC